ACUCCUACGGGAGGCAGCAGUAGGGAAUCUUCCACAAUGGGCGCAAGCCUGAUGGAGCAACACCGCGUGAGUGAAGAAGGGUUUCGGCUCGUAAAGCUCUGUUGUUAAAGAAGAACACGUAUGAGAGUAACUGUUCAUACGUUGACGGUAUUUAACCAGAAAGUCACGGCUAACUACGUGCCAGCAGCCGCGGUAAUACGUAGGUGGCAAGCGUUAUCCGGAUUUAUUGGGCGUAAAGAGAGUGCAGGCGGUUUUCUAAGUCUGAUGUGAAAGCCUUCGGCUUAACCGGAGAAGUGCAUCGGAAACUGGAUAACUUGAGUGCAGAGGAGGGUAGUGGAACUCCAUGUGUAGCGGUGGAAUGCGUAGAUAUAUGGAAGAACACCAGUGGCGAAGGCGGCUACCUGGUCUGCAACUGACGCUGAGACUCGAAAGCAUGGGUAGCGAACAGGAUUAGAUACCCCUGGUAGGAUAGCG
RNAcentral lists this ribosomal RNA (474 nucleotides) under uncultured bacterium. Its description in RNAcentral is "bacterial SSU rRNA". It matches the Rfam family "Bacterial small subunit ribosomal RNA", at positions 335 to 801 of the family's 1533-position model. The record is from RNAcentral.